UAUAAUAUCAGGUUUGACAACAAAUGGCCUUAGAUGUUUGUUAAAUGUAAUUUAAAAUUGUAAUGACGUAAAAAAAACAAAAAUUAAAGACGACAAUAAGAAUAAGUAAUGAGGGGGGGAAAAGAAAAAUGACGAGAAUGCAAUUUUAACCCUUUCAUUUUUAUUGUGGGUGAUGUGAAGGAAGGUACUACCUACUACCCAAGAGGCUGAAGUAUUUAACAAGCUUUGAUGAGUGAGCACUCAAAGAAAAAACAAUGCAGCAGCUUUUGGAGGCAAUAGUGAUUAGUGCAGUGCAGGCUCUCGUAAAGAUUCCAUAUCUGUGCUUUCCUCAUCACUCUUAUCAUUUUUCCUUCUCCAUCAGGUACACUACUCACUCCCUAUACUGUACAUUCACCCUUUGGUCUUGAAUUUGAGGUGGGGAUUAUAUGAACAUUCACCCUUUUCUCCUCUCGGUGCGUUUUCGGUUUCAUCUCUGGUCUUGUUUCUUGUUUCAUCUCUGAUAGGUUGUUGAACUUUCAAUUUUAUAUAUAAUUGGUCUCAAGUCACUGAACUUUUAA
Molecule: non-coding RNA, 557 nt
Organism: Momordica charantia (bitter melon)
Lineage: Eukaryota; Viridiplantae; Streptophyta; Magnoliopsida; Cucurbitales; Cucurbitaceae
Source: RefSeq, a predicted model, not a curated record